GUAGGUGAACCUGCGGAAGGAUCAUUAACACUAAUGAUUAACCAAUCAAACCCCAAAUUUUUGUAAUCGUCUUUUUGUUGGUAAAAAUUUACUUUUUUACUAGCAAACAUUUUUUUACAAACCCCUGACUAACAAUACUAUAAACCUAAGUUGACUAAAAAUAUAGAUAUCGUAGGUUGUUACUUACGGUAUAUCAUAUAUUUUCAUUUUUGAAAUGUAUAUAUAUCUAAAGCACAACUCUUAGCAAUGGAUAUCUUGGUUCUC
Molecule: unclassified non-coding RNA, 264 nt
Filed under: rhizosphere metagenome
Description: partial ribosomal RNA internal transcribed spacer region
Source: RNAcentral